Molecule: ribosomal RNA, 317 nt
Filed under: uncultured bacterium
Lineage: Bacteria
Description: partial 16S ribosomal RNA
Rfam family: Bacterial small subunit ribosomal RNA
Source: RNAcentral
AACGAACGCUGGCGGCAGGCCUAACACAUGCAAGUCGAGCGCCCCCUUUAGAGCACAAAGACGGAGACGCGGUGUUGGAGAGAUCUGAUCGCUGGGUUUGGAGUUUUGUCUUCUGAUGGGGGAGCGGCGGACGGGUGAGUAACGCGUGGGAAUUUUCCUCAAGGUACGGAACAACUCAGGGAAACUUGGGCUAAUACCGUAUGAUGUCUAGCGACCAAAGAUUUAUCGCCUUGGGGAUAAGCCCGCGUCAGAUUAGGUAGUUGGUGGGGUAACGGCCUACCAAGCCUGCGAUCUGUAGCUGGUCUGAGAGGACGAUC